RNAcentral lists this ribosomal RNA (759 nucleotides) under Haemophilus influenzae. RNAcentral's name for it is "bacterial SSU rRNA". It matches the Rfam family "Bacterial small subunit ribosomal RNA", at positions 28 to 776 of the family's 1533-position model. The record is from RNAcentral. Lineage: Bacteria; Pseudomonadati; Pseudomonadota; Gammaproteobacteria; Pasteurellales; Pasteurellaceae.
AUUGAACGCUGGCGGCAGGCUUAACACAUGCAAGUCGAACGGUAGCAGGAGAAAGCUUGCUUUCUUGCUGACGAGUGGCGGACGGGUGAGUAAUGCUUGGGAAUCUAGCUUAUGGAGGGGGAUAACGACGGGAAACUGUCGCUAAUACCGCGUAUUAUCGGAAGAUGAAAGUGCGGGACUGAGAGGCCGCAUGCCAUAGGAUGAGCCCAAGUGGGAUUAGGUAGUUGGUGGGGUAAAUGCCUACCAAGCCUGCGAUCUCUAGCUGGUCUGAGAGGAUGACCAGCCGCACUGGAACUGAGACACGGUCCAGACUCCUACGGGAGGCAGCAGUGGGGAAUAUUGCGCAAUGGGGGGAACCCUGACGCAGCCAUGCCGCGUGAAUGAAGAAGGCCUUCGGGUUGUAAAGUUCUUUCGGUAUUGAGGAAGGUUGAUGUGUUAAUAGCACAUCAAAUUGACGUUAAAUACAGAAGAAGCACCGGCUAACUCCGUGCCAGCAGCCGCGGUAAUACGGAGGGUGCGAGCGUUAAUCGGAAUAACUGGGCGUAAAGGGCACGCAGGCGGUUAUUUAAGUGAGGUGUGAAAGCCCUGGGCUUAACCUAGGAAUUGCAUUUCAGACUGGGUAACUAGAGUACUUUAGGGAGGGGUAGAAUUCCACGUGUAGCGGUGAAAUGCGUAGAGAUGUGGAGGAAUACCGAAGGCGAAGGCAGCCCCUUGGGGAUGUACUGACGCUCAUGUGCGAAAGCGUGGGGAGCAAACAGG